UCUUGGAGGUUCAUAGUUAUGCAGUAAGUUGAGGCAUCAUUAUGUGUCUGCUGUACAAAGUACACAAGACAUAUAUUAUUAUUCACCAUGCUUCUUCUUCUUUAGUCCUAAUGAAUGAUCUGUAUAUGUUUCAGAAGAUGUCCACAUUAGUAAGCACAGAGCUGUGUGUCAGUCUGUCAGCCAGUCAG
Toxotes jaculatrix (banded archerfish) is the source of this 188-nucleotide long non-coding RNA. RefSeq lists it as uncharacterized. The record is from RefSeq and is a predicted model, not a curated record. The transcript is spliced from 3 exons. Lineage: Eukaryota; Metazoa; Chordata; Actinopteri; Toxotidae.